ACAACAGAGCAGGCUGUCUGCUCCCUGCAAGCCAAGCUGGAGCUGGCAGAUGGGGAUCAGGGCUGGGACCUUCCUGACAAUGAUCAUCGCCACUGCUGAGGCUCAGUAAAAUGGCCAGGAGCAGUUUCAUGUGGCUGAGUCUGUCUCUGUCUGUACCCCACCUGGCAUGGGGGAGUGAGGAGGCGUCUCUCUCCGAGUCUCAAGGCACCUGCCUCUGGUGACAGGCUGUCCUUGGAAUGAGCCAAUUAGACUGCAAAAGUCAUCUCUCCACCUUCCCAUCCCACCCACCAGCUCCCACCAGCACACACAGAGACACACCUGGUUCCCUAAGCUUUGCGCAGACAACAUGCCCAGGAGGAGCACUUGACUCUGCUGAACAAGUCGCCCCUCCCACCCCUAGCAGCUGAAGUUCUCAUCUGCUCCACAGAAAGCAGCCCUCAAAUGCUGCCUCUGCAUCCCACAGCUGUGUGACCUUGGGCACAUCCCUUAAUCUCUCCUUCCCCUGUUCCCCCAAAAAGGGUCUCAAUACAGCAUUAUGCUGCCUUCUCAACUGACCCCUCCAGGAGAGGAUAAUGAGGACUCGAUACCCAUUGGGAAGGCCUUCCCGUUAAAGGAGGAAAACGCCGAGUUUGCCAGCACAACAGCACCCACCUCCUCCCAAGAGGAGCCUCAGCACUGGGGCAGUAAUGUCGCUCGGGAUCAGAGGUGGGACCAGCCAUUUCACCUGGAGAAGAGCAGGGCUGUCCUUCCAGCUCCUUGCUAGACAAGAAGGGAAGAGAUCUUCUCCUUAAGAGGCUGUUGCUUAAUGAAAAAUAAAACUAAAUGCAGCCAUAGAUAGCACACUGAUGGUGGGAAAAUCUUACUUGACCCCCCCGCCCCGCCGAUUCUGUGCCUUUCUGAGGGCAAGAGGAAAAUGGAAGUACCCUUAUCUGAUGGUUCCUGUCUAAGGAGGCAGGAAAAUGUCAGCUGGUAAUAGGUCCCUAUUUUCUUCCAGACAUCCACACGGAUGCUCCCAGUGUCCAGGAGAGGCCAUGCGUGGAGCCUGCAGGAGAGGGGGGCAGUGUGCACCAUCUCUAGGAGCAGCUUUUCUAGAUGAAGGGCCUAGACUAUGGGAUCUGCAGAGUUGCAGGAGAUGUAUGCAGACUCCACCCUCUGGACCAGGGGCUGUGCUGAGGCCAAUUGUGUUAGGGAAGGCUUUUAGAGCACAGCUGCACACCAGGCACUUGACAUACGAUGUAUCAUUAGUGAGCUCAGCCUCUGAUGAGGCAGGUGUCAGUAUUAGCCCCCAUUUUACAGAUGGGGAAGGGGAGGCACAGAGAGGUCAGGAACUGGCCCAGAGUCACUCAGUCCCCUAGCUAGACAUGAACCCAGGCAGUCUAAUUCCAGAGUGUGCACUCUUAACUACUGUGUGAUGUAUGUGGACUAGAAAGCAGGACACACAGCGAGCAGGGAAAUUCACUCCGUGUGGUGUGGGCACUUAGCACGACUUCUUAGGGACCAGAGAAGCUUCCACUAUCAUAUUUUGUUUUCAUUAGUAAUGGUUUUUUAAAAUGUCAACAAUCGCUGAGCCAACUUCUCAUAAUCAAUCCUUUAUAUUUAAAAAAAGGUCAAAACAAAGUUACAUCGUGGAUGAUUUUAAAUGUUUACAUUUCACAAAUUAAUGCUUUUAGCCUUAUCAAUACAAUGCAAUAAAAAUUAUGCUCUUUCCAAGAUAGCUACAUUAUUUUAAAAAAUAAUGUGAUUUCAGAGUGCACUCAAGUAACAUGGGCUGGCGAUGGGGCAAAAAAUGUAAGCGUGGAUAAUCAUCUCUCUUUGAAUGUUGUUGCUCUGAGGCUACAAGUCUAACUCUCCUCUUUAGAGAAUAACAUCAAAAGUCCAAUCUGGGAGGAAUCAGCCCGAUGUUGCUGGCUUUGAAGAUGAAGGAAGGUGGCCAUGAGCCAAAGAAAGGACUUCUGUUCUAC
Molecule: long non-coding RNA, 1961 nt
Organism: Homo sapiens (human)
Lineage: Eukaryota; Metazoa; Chordata; Mammalia; Primates; Hominidae
Source: Ensembl